UACGGAGGGUGCAAGCGUUAUCCGGAUUCACUGGGUUUAAAGGGUGCGUAGGUGGGCAGUUAAGUCAGUGGUGAAAUCCCCGGGCUCAACCCGGAAACUGCCAUUGAUACUAUCUGUCUUGAAUAUCGUGGAGGUAAGCGGAAUAUGUCAUGUAGCGGUGAAAUGCUUAGAUAUGACAUAGAACACCAAUUGCGAAGGCAGCUUACUACCCGAAUAUUGACACUGAGGCACGAAAGCGUGGGGAUCAAACAGG
Molecule: ribosomal RNA, 253 nt
Filed under: uncultured bacterium
Lineage: Bacteria
Description: partial 16S ribosomal RNA
Rfam family: Bacterial small subunit ribosomal RNA
Source: RNAcentral